AAAUUGAAGAGUUUGAUCAUGGCUCAGAUUGAACGCUGGCGGCAGGCCUAACACAUGCAAGUCGAACGGUAACAGGAAACAGCUUGCUGUUUCGCUGACGAGUGGCGGACGGGUGAGUAAUGUCUGGGAAAUUGCCUGAUGGAGGGGGAUAACUACUGGAAACGGUAGCUAAUACCGCAUAACGUCGCAAGACCAAAGAGGGGGACCUUCGGGCCUCUUGCCAUC
RNAcentral lists this ribosomal RNA (225 nucleotides) under Escherichia coli. RNAcentral describes it as "partial 16S ribosomal RNA". It matches the Rfam family "Bacterial small subunit ribosomal RNA", at positions 1 to 222 of the family's 1533-position model. The record is from RNAcentral. Lineage: Bacteria; Pseudomonadati; Pseudomonadota; Gammaproteobacteria; Enterobacterales; Enterobacteriaceae.